This 466-nucleotide ribosomal RNA is filed under the name Vreelandella stevensii. RNAcentral describes it as "partial 16S ribosomal RNA". It matches the Rfam family "Bacterial small subunit ribosomal RNA", at positions 338 to 795 of the family's 1533-position model. Lineage: Bacteria; Pseudomonadati; Pseudomonadota; Gammaproteobacteria; Oceanospirillales; Halomonadaceae. The record is from RNAcentral.
CCUACGGGAGGCAGCAGUGGGGAAUAUUGGACAAUGGGCGAAAGCCUGAUCCAGCCAUGCCGCGUGUGUGAAGAAGGCCUUCGGGUUGUAAAGCACUUUCAGUGGGGAAGAAAGCCUUGGGGCUAAUACCCUCGAGGAAGGACAUCACCCACAGAAGAAGCACCGGCUAACUCCGUGCCAGCAGCCGGCGGUAAUACGGAGGGUGCGAGCGUUAAUCGGAAUUACUGGGCGUAAAGCGCGCGUAGGCGGUCUGAUAAGCCGGUUGUGAAAGCCCCGGGCUCAACCUGGGAACGGCAUCCGGAACUGUCAGGCUAGAGUGCAGGAGAGGAAGGUAGAAUUCCCGGUGUAGCGGUGAAAUGCGUAGAGAUCGGGAGGAAUACCAGUGGCGAAGGCGGCCUUCUGGACUGACACUGACGCUGAGGUGCGAAAGCGUGGGUAGCAAACAGGAUUAGAUACCCCAGUAGUC